RNAcentral lists this ribosomal RNA (253 nucleotides) under uncultured bacterium. RNAcentral describes it as "partial 16S ribosomal RNA". It matches the Rfam family "Bacterial small subunit ribosomal RNA", at positions 524 to 776 of the family's 1533-position model. The record is from RNAcentral.
UACAGGGGGUGCAAACGUUGCUCGGAAUUAUUGGGCGUAAAGCGCGCGUAGGCGGCUACUUAAGUCGGAUGUGAAAGCCCCUGGCUCAACUGGGGAAGUGCACCCGAAACUGAGUGGCUUGAGUGCGAAAGAGGGUCGCGGAAUUCCCGGUGUAGAGGUGAAAUUCGUAGAUAUCAGGAGGAACACCGAUGGCGAAGGCAGGUCUCUGGGCCAUAACUGACGCUGAGAAGCGAAAGCAUGGGGAGCGAACAGG